RNAcentral lists this ribosomal RNA (492 nucleotides) under uncultured bacterium. RNAcentral's name for it is "partial 16S ribosomal RNA". It matches the Rfam family "Bacterial small subunit ribosomal RNA", at positions 29 to 507 of the family's 1533-position model. The record is from RNAcentral.
AGUGAACGCUGGCGGUAGGCCUAACACAUGCAAGUCGAACGGCAGCACAGUAAGAGCUUGCUCUUACGGGUGGCGAGUGGCGGACGGGUGAGGAAUACAUCGGAAUCUACUUUUUCGUGGGGGAUAACGUAGGGAAACUUACGCUAAUACCGCAUACGACCUACGGGUGAAAGCAGGGGAUCUUCGGACCUUGCGCGAUUGAAUGAGCCGAUGUCGGAUUAGUUAGUUGGCGGGGUAAAGGCCCACCAAGGCGACUAUCCGUAGCUGGUUUGAGAGGAUGAUCAGCCACACUGGAACUGGGACACGGUCCAGACUCCUACGGGAGGCAGCAGUGGGGAAUAUUGGACAAUGGGCGCAAGCCUGAUCCAGCCAUACCGCGUGGGUGAAGAAGGCCUUCGGGUUGUAAAGCCCUUUUGUUGGGAAAGAAAAGCAGCAGGUUAAUACCCCGCUGUUCUGACGGUACCCAAAGAAUAAGCACCGGCUAACUUCGUG